This 1720-nucleotide long non-coding RNA is filed under the name Aplysia californica (California sea hare). RNAcentral describes it as "uncharacterized LOC118477847". The record is from RNAcentral. Lineage: Eukaryota; Metazoa; Mollusca; Gastropoda; Aplysiida; Aplysiidae.
AAUAAUAAAAAAUUAUGGGAAAAAAUGAUCAAAUUUUGCUACAUUAUGCGGGGUGCAUAAAACCACGGGGACAGUUCUCAAUAUUUGUUGGCACGAUGAUUUGCCCGUCUAUUUUGCCCACGUUCGACGAUGUCUUUUGAUUGUCCUCUAUCGACGAUCGAGCGCCAGUUUUCCUUUCUCUGCCUGGCCCGGCACUUUUAGUUCGUGGUUCCCCGACAGAAUGUGGAACAAUUCUUCCUCCAUAUUUCUUAUUUCUUUGAACCAGAGUGUCAAUGACAUGUAGAUAUACACAUCUUAUUUCUUUGAACCAGAGUGUCAAUGACAUGCAAAUAAGCACAUCUUCUUAUUUCUUAGAACCAAAGUGUCGAUGACAUGUAGGUAAACACAUCUUAUUUCUUAGAACCAGAGUGUCAAUGACAUGUAGGUAAACACAUCUUCUUAUUUCUUUGAACCAGAGUGUCAAUGACAUGUAGAUAUACACAUCUAUGCGUCCCCUGUUAUAUCACAUCUGUGCGUCCCCUGUUGUUACAUUCAGAAUUUUAUUUUUAUUGCUCAGACAGCGUUACCUCCAACAAAUGUGUUCAUUGAAUGUUGAAGUGAGUGAAAUAGUUUGCUGUACAAUUUUUUUAACUUCAAUUUUCUUGUUAUUUUCAAAUGGUGUACCUGUUUCUCAUGGAUAAAAACGACAAGACGCACCGAUAUCGUCAGCAAGCUGCUGUACUGUUCUAAGCCUAGAAUGCAAAUUUUUUUUUCUAGAGAGAGUAAAAGACUGUCUUAAUUACUUAAUAUACUUUUAAAAAUUGUACCUUUAUGUAUUUUUUCUUGCUUUCUUUUUUAACAUUCAAAACAUUUUUUGAGCAAACACUACCGAUACUCAGUGAUACUCUUUAAAAAAAAAUUUUUUUUUAAUUUUUGGGCUUUGUACAUUUUAACAGCUGGCUGACAAUAUGGGGAUAAAAGCAGUUCAGUUUAUAAUGGUGGCAUGUGUGCCUAACCAAUUUUCUGCUCCUUUUGCUAUAAUUAAAUCGAGACUGUAUAUUAGCAGACUACUUCAGAAACUGUUCUGUUACAACGUUAUGGGCCUAAAAGGGAAUGAUGAAUGUGUGUUUACACAACAAAUCAAGUCAUGGGGAAAUGUCACAUUUUUAUUUACAUUCCAAGCAAUAUCAGAAAACAUAAACUUAAACAUGUCAUUUUACAAGUCAAAUAAUUCCAGUUACCCGUGCAGCCACUGCCAAUCUAUGAAGCAAGGACAGGCUGUGGAAUUGGAAGCUCAAGUGAGGGGUUUGAGAAAAAAAUAAAUUUUCUGCAGAACAGAAUGUUGUAAUGAUCUUGAGGAUCAGACUUAGUGUGUCCAUAAAUAAUACCCUCUACUGUAAUGUAAUUUAAAUUACUCUCCUGAUAUUUUUCACUUUAUCAGGCACAAUAUUUUUUACACAAACUCAGAAUUAAUCUGGCUUGUCAAUAAAGAGUAUCUGGCACAUUUGAGUGAUAAGUCCACCAAAACUGUUCAGAUGAUAGGAUAAAAUAAAAUUCCAGUCCAGCCAUGUUUCCAUACAGCUUUGCAAAGAUAAGAAAUAGUUGUCCUGAUACUCUGCAAGUGUAAUUCUGCUGAGCGCCACUAGUAGUAGGCCCUACUUUAUUUCUUUACCAUCAGUUGUUUCUACCUGUCUGAAUUGUAUUUUCCCUGCAAUAAAUGACCGUUAUUACCUCAGUGUAC